This 440-nucleotide ribosomal RNA is filed under the name uncultured bacterium. Its description in RNAcentral is "partial 16S ribosomal RNA". It matches the Rfam family "Bacterial small subunit ribosomal RNA", at positions 338 to 795 of the family's 1533-position model. The record is from RNAcentral.
CCUACGGGUGGCAGCAGUGGGGAAUAUUGCACAAUGGGGGCAACCCUGAUGCAGCGACGCCGCGUGAGUGAAGAAGUACUUCGUUAUGUUAAGCUCUAUCAGCAGGGAAGUAAAUGACGGUACGUGUGUAACAAGCCACGGCUAACUACGUGCCAGCAGCCGCGGUACUACGGAGGCGGCAAGCGUUAUCCGGAUUUACUGGGUGUAAAGGGAGCGUAGACGGGAGGGCAAGUCUGGAGUGAAAGGCGGGGGCUCAACCCCCGGACUGCACUGGAAACUGUACGGCUGGAGUGCAGGAGAGGUAAGUGGAAUUCCUAGUGUAGCGGUGAAAUGCGUAGAUAUUAGGAGGAACACCAGUGGCGAAGGCGGCUUACUGGACUGUAACUGACGUUGAGGCUCGAAAGCGUGGGGAGCAAACAGGAUUAGAUACCCCAGUAGUC